This 207-nucleotide ribosomal RNA is filed under the name uncultured Lachnospiraceae bacterium. RNAcentral's name for it is "partial 16S ribosomal RNA". It matches the Rfam family "Bacterial small subunit ribosomal RNA", at positions 568 to 774 of the family's 1533-position model. Lineage: Bacteria; Bacillati; Bacillota; Clostridia; Lachnospirales; Lachnospiraceae. The record is from RNAcentral.
AGCGUAGACGGUAUGGUAAGUCAGAUGUGAAAGCCCGGGGCUCAACCCCGGGACUGCAUUUGAAACUAUCAGACUAGAGUGCAGGAGAGGUAAGUGGAAUUCCUAGUGUAGCGGUGAAAUGCGUAGAUAUUAGGAGGAACACCAGUGGCGAAGGCGGCUUACUGGACUGUAACUGACGUUGAGGCUCGAAAGCGUGGGGAGCAAACA